AGAUGAGAUUUCCAUCCCUUUUAGGGUGAAGGCUCCCGGCUAGACUACCGGGUUGAUAGGCAGGAUGUGGAAGCGAGGACUAAAGACUCGUGGAGCUGACCUGUACUAAUAAGCCGAUAUCUUGAAAAC
Molecule: ribosomal RNA, 129 nt
Filed under: Clavibacter michiganensis
Lineage: Bacteria; Bacillati; Actinomycetota; Actinomycetes; Micrococcales; Microbacteriaceae
Description: partial 23S ribosomal RNA
Rfam family: Bacterial large subunit ribosomal RNA
Source: RNAcentral